RNAcentral lists this ribosomal RNA (2015 nucleotides) under human gut metagenome. Its description in RNAcentral is "bacterial LSU rRNA". It matches the Rfam family "Bacterial large subunit ribosomal RNA", at positions 166 to 1987 of the family's 2925-position model. The record is from RNAcentral.
AUAGGGUGGUGGGGGGAACGCGGGGAAGUGAAACAUCUCAGUACCCGUAGGAGAAGAUAUUCCGUGAGUAGUGGCGAGCGAAAGCGGAGGAGGCUAAACCUUGUGCGUGUGAUAGGCGGCGGCCGUUGCGCAUGGGGUGUUGUGGGGCAUGAUCGUCUACCUUCUGCCGGGGGUGGGCAUGGCGUGUUGUUGGUGGUUGAACCUCUUGGGAUGGGGGACCGUAGUGCGUGAUAGUCGCGUAGGCCAGCCGGUAGGGCGCCGUGUGGGUUGUGUUCCCGAGUAGUGCGGGACUCGUGAAAUCUCGUGUGAAUCUGCCAGGACCACCUGGUAAGCCUAAAUACUACUGAGUGACCGAUAGUGCAUAGUACCGUGAGGGAAUGGUGAAAAGUACCCCGGGAGGGGAGUGAAAUAGUACCUGAAACCGUGUGCUUGUAAGCCGUCAGAGCCUUGUGGGGUGAUGGCGUGCCUUUUGAAGAAUGAGCCUGCGAGUCAGUGGCACGUGGCGUGCUUAACCCGUGUGGGGUAUGCGUAGCGAAAGCGAGUCUGAAAUAUGGCGUGUGUCGCGUGUUCUGGACCCGAAGCGGGGUGAUCUACCCAUGGCCAGGUUGAAGCAAGGGUAAGACUUUGUGGAGGACCGAACCCACCAGGGUUGAAAACCUGGGGGAUGAGCUGUGGGUAGGGGUGAAAGGCCAAUCAAACUCCGUGAUAGCUGGUUCUCCCCGAAAUGCAUUUAGGUGCAGCGUUGUGUGGUUCCUGUUGGAGGUAGAGCUACUGGAUGGCCGAUGGGCCCUGUGGGUUACUGACGUCAGCCAAACUCCGAAUGCCAAUAGGGUAGAGCAUGGCAGUGAGACUGCGGGGGAUAAGCUUCGUAGUCGAGAGGGAAACAGCCCAGAUCAUCAGCUAAGGCCCCUAAGUGUGCGCUAAGUGGGAAAGGAUGUGGAGUCGCGGUGACAACCAGGAGGUUGGCUUAGAAGCAGCCACCCUUGAAAGAGUGCGUAAUAGCUCACUGGUCAAGUGAUUUCGCGCCGACAAUGUAGCGGGGCUUAAGCGUACCGCCGAAGCUGUGGCAACAACACGAAUUAGCUGGCGUCAUUUAAUGAUUGUUGGUGUGUUGUUGGGUAGGGGAGCGUCCUGCAUGAGGUGAAGCCUGGAGGUAACUUCUGGUGGAUUGUGUGGGAGUGAGAAUGCAGGCAUGAGUAACGAAUCUGCGGUGAGAAUCCGCAGCGCCGAUUGACUAAGGGUUCCAGGGCUAGGUUUAUCCGCCCUGGGUUAGUCGGGUCCUAAGGCGAGGCCGACAGGCGUAGUCGAUGGACAACCAGUUGAUAUUCUGGUACCGCGUUAUGACCGCCCAUGCUGAAGUCAUUGUGCUAACCAAUUUGCCCGCAUCCCCGCAUGGCUUUCGGGCCGUGUGGGUGUGUGUGGGUCUUGGGGUCCCGGUGAUUGUAGGCAAGCGUGUUAACAGGGGUGACGCAGACAGGUAGCUGCAGUGCGCCGAUGGUUGUGCGUAUUUAAGGUUGUGGCCCGCCUCCCAGGCAAAUCCGGGGGACACUGUGGGUGAGAACUGAUGAGGGACACACGCGUGUGUGGACUUGUGGUGAUCCUAAGCUGCCGAGAAAAGCCUCGACGUGAGGGCAUAACGCGCCCGUACCCUAAACCGACUCAGGUGGUCAGGUAGAGUAUACCGAGGCGUUCGAGUGAAUCGUGGUUAAGGAACUCGGCAAAAUUCCUCCGUAACUUCGGGAUAAGGAGGACCCCGUGGUUUCCCAACGCCGUGCGUGUUGGUGGGGCCGUGGGGUCGCAGAGAAUAGGGAGAAGCGACUGUUUAUCAAAAACACAGGUGCGUGCGAAGCCGUAAGGCGAUGUAUACGCACUGACGCCUGCCCGGUGCUGGAAGGUUAAGAGGAACUGUUAACACUCCUUCGGGGUGUGAAGCGGUGAAUUUAAGCCCCAGUAAACGGCGGUGGUAACUAUAACCAUCCUAAGGUAGCGAAAUUCCUUGUCGGGUAAGUUCCGAC